RNAcentral lists this long non-coding RNA (481 nucleotides) under Mus pahari (shrew mouse). RNAcentral's name for it is "lncRNA (MGP_PahariEiJ_G0004424.1)". Lineage: Eukaryota; Metazoa; Chordata; Mammalia; Rodentia; Muridae. The record is from RNAcentral.
GGUUUUUUUGGCUUUGAAAUCUGCCAGUUCUUGGAAUCAGCUUCGACCAGGCCCCUCGGGUUCCCGGGCUGGAGGAAGUGAGCAGGGAAGGUGGUUGGAGAUUUCUCAUCCUCCGAGGAAUAUGUUCGAUACAGACACCGCGGGUCUCCUUGUUAUGCUAGAAACCAGCGGUUGUUUGCACAUAAGGAGCUACCACACGGUAAUGAGGUGCAGCCAGAGGCAAAAUGACAUUUGGCGAAGUCUUUUGUGUUCCGCAGCCGGUGACUCUGAAUGGGAACUCCGGAGUGGCAUGCAGGGCUACAGAAUCACGUCCUGGAUCAAUGUGCGGCAGACAGAGACCUCAUGGCCUGUAGUUAGAAACGGCUUCUUUCUUCAGUGUCAACCCCCUGUAAAACACACGUGAAGGUCUAACAGGCAGAAUUCUUCACUUCAGGAUUGUUUGUAUACUACUGCUGCGAGGAGCGGUCUGCAGGCAGGCAGA